AUUGAACGCUGGCGGCAGGCCUAACACAUGCAAGUCGAGCGGAUGAAGGGAGCUUGCUCCUGGAUUCAGCGGCGGACGGGUGAGUAAUGCCUAGGAAUCUGCCUGGUAGUGGGGGAUAACGUCCGGAAACGGGCGCUAAUACCGCAUACGUCCUGAGGGAGAAAGUGGGGGAUCUUCGGACCUCACGCUAUCAGAUGAGCCUAGGUCGGAUUAGCUAGUUGGUGGGGUAAAGGCCUACCAAGGCGACGAUCCGUAACUGGUCUGAGAGGAUGAUCAGUCACAUUGGAACUGAGACACGGUCCAGACUCCUACGGGAGGCAGCAGUGGGGAAUAUUGGACAAUGGGCGAAAGCCUGAUCCAGCCAUGCCGCGUGUGUGAAGAAGGUCUUCGGAUUGUAAAGCACUUUAAGUUGGGAGGAAGGGCAGUAAGUUAAUACCUUGCUGUUUUGACGUUACCAACAGGAUAAGCACCGGCUAACUUCGUG
Molecule: ribosomal RNA, 484 nt
Filed under: uncultured bacterium
Lineage: Bacteria
Description: partial 16S ribosomal RNA
Rfam family: Bacterial small subunit ribosomal RNA
Source: RNAcentral